RNAcentral lists this unclassified non-coding RNA (268 nucleotides) under Hevea brasiliensis (rubber tree). Lineage: Eukaryota; Viridiplantae; Streptophyta; Magnoliopsida; Malpighiales; Euphorbiaceae. The record is from RNAcentral.
GGCUUAUUGAAACAUCAAAUUUGGCUUUGUCCAAAUGCUUAUUCAAGUUCAUUCAUCAAACAACUUUGAAAACAAAUUUAAGUUCAAUCACCAGAACCGCCAUUUCCAUAUACUCUUAUGCUCAACUCAAAAAAAUUGAAAACUGAAAUACAUCAUUUUGUAUAGGUUGGCUUCACUGAAGCAUUAUGAAACAAACACUUAUUCGAGAAAACACAUAAAUAUGCAUAAAAUAAUCAUACGGAUUAUUAGUUGAAUACAUAUAUUGAGA